ACUGCAGUCGAACGAUGAACCACUUCGGUGGGGAUUAGUGGCGAACGGGUGAGUAACACGUGGGCAAUCUGCCCUGCACUCUGGGACAAGCCCUGGAAACGGGGUCUAAUACCGGAUACUGACCCGCUUGGGCAUCCAAGCGGUUCGAAAGCUCCGGCGGUGCAGGAUGAGCCCGCGGCCUAUCAGCUUGUUGGUGAGGUAAUGGCUCACCAAGGCGACGACGGGUAGCCGGCCUGAGAGGGCGACCGGCCACACUGGGACUGAGACACGGCCCAGACUCCUACGGGAGGCAGCAGUGGGGAAUAUUGCACAAUGGGCGAAAGCCUGAUGCAGCGACGCCGCGUGAGGGAUGACGGCCUUCGGGUUGUAAACCUCUUUCAGCAGGGAAGAAGCGAAAGUGACGGUACCUGCAGAAGAAGCGCCGGCUAACUACGUGCCAGCAGCCGCGGUAAUACGUAGGGCGCGAGCGUUGUCCGGAAUUAUUGGGCGUAAAGAGCUCGUAGGCGGCUUGUCACGUCGGUUGUGAAAGCCCGGGGCUUAACCCCGGGUCUGCAGUCGAUACGGGCAGGCUAGAGUUCGGUAGGGGAGAUCGGAAUUCCUGGUGUAGCGGUGAAAUGCUCAGAUAUCAGGAGGAACACCGGUGGCGCAGGCGGACCUCUG
RNAcentral lists this ribosomal RNA (660 nucleotides) under Streptomyces sp. 289(2010). RNAcentral's name for it is "bacterial SSU rRNA". It matches the Rfam family "Bacterial small subunit ribosomal RNA", at positions 53 to 731 of the family's 1533-position model. The record is from RNAcentral. Lineage: Bacteria; Bacillati; Actinomycetota; Actinomycetes; Kitasatosporales; Streptomycetaceae.